This 337-nucleotide ribosomal RNA is filed under the name uncultured soil bacterium. Its description in RNAcentral is "bacterial SSU rRNA". It matches the Rfam family "Bacterial small subunit ribosomal RNA", at positions 26 to 369 of the family's 1533-position model. The record is from RNAcentral.
AGAAUGAACGCUGGCGGCGUGCUUUACACAUGCAAGUCGAGCGAGGCGGGGAGCAAUCCCCAGUCGAGCGGCGAACGGGUGAGUAACGCGUGGAUGACCUGCCCUACAGUGGGGAAUAACCCGGGGAAACUCGGGCUAAUACCGCAUACGACCGAGAGGUGAAAGGGGGCACGCAAGUGCUCUCGCUGGAGGAGGGUCCGCGUUCGAUUAGCUAGUUGGUAGGGUAAUGGCCUACCAAGGCGACGAUCCGAUAGCCGGCCUGAGAGGGUGACUCGGCCACACUGGAACUGAGACACGGUCCAGACUCCGUACGGAGGCAGCAGUGGGGAAUUUGCGC